RNAcentral lists this unclassified non-coding RNA (298 nucleotides) under plant metagenome. Its description in RNAcentral is "partial contains 5.8S ribosomal RNA, internal transcribed spacer 2, and large subunit ribosomal RNA". The stretch from base 1 to 105 matches the Rfam family "5.8S ribosomal RNA", at positions 50 to 154 of the family's 154-position model. The record is from RNAcentral.
GAAAUGCGAUAAGUAAUGUGAAUUGCAGAAUUCAGUGAAUCAUCGAAUCUUUGAACGCACAUUGCGCCCCCUGGUAUUCCGGGGGGCAUGCCUGUUCGAGCGUCAUUUCACCACUCAAGCCUCGCUUGGUAUUGGGCAACGCGGUCCGCCGCGUGCCUCAAAUCGACCGGCUGGGUCUUCCGUCCCCUAAGCGUUGUGGAAACUAUUCGCUAAAGGGUGCUCGGGAGGCUACGCCGUAAAACAAACCCGUUUCUAAGGUUGACCUCGGAUCAGGUAGGGAUACCCGCUGAACUUAAGC